GUAUAAUGGGUCAGCGACUUAUAUUCUGUAGCAAGGUUAACCGAAUAGGGGAGCCGAAGGGAAACCGAGUCUUAACUGGGCGUUAAGUUGCAGGGUAUAGACCCGAAACCCGGUGAUCUAGCCAUGGGCAGGUUGAAGGUUGGGUAACACUAACUGGAGGACCGAACCGACUAAUGUUGAAAAAUUAGCGGAUGACUUGUGGCUGGGGGUGAAAGGCCAAUCAAACCGGGAGAUAGCUGGUUCUCCCCGAAAGCUAUUUAGGUAGCGCCUCGUGAAUUCAUCUCCGGGGGUAGAGCACUGUUUCGGCAAGGGGGUCAUCCCGACUUACCAACCCGAUGCAAACUGCGAAUACCGGAGAAUGUUAUCACGGGAGACACACGGCGGGUGCUAACGUCCGUCGUGAAGAGGGAAACAACCCAGACCGCCAGCUAAGGUCCCAAAGUCAUGGUUAAGUGGGAAACGAUGUGGGAAGGCCCAGACAGCCAGGAUGUUGGCUUAGAAGCAGCCAUCAUUUAAAGAAAGCGUAAUAGCUCACUGGUCGAGUCGGCCUGCGCGGAAGAUGUAACGGGGCUAAACCAUGCACCGAAGCUGCGGCAGCGACGCUUAUGCGUUGUUGGGUA
This 620-nucleotide ribosomal RNA is filed under the name Escherichia coli. RNAcentral describes it as "partial 23S ribosomal RNA". It matches the Rfam family "Bacterial large subunit ribosomal RNA", at positions 610 to 1230 of the family's 2925-position model. The record is from RNAcentral. Lineage: Bacteria; Pseudomonadati; Pseudomonadota; Gammaproteobacteria; Enterobacterales; Enterobacteriaceae.